GACGGAGGAUGCAAGCGUUAUCCGGAAUGAUUGGGCGUAAAGCGUCCGCAGGUGGCAGUUCAAGUCUGCUGUCAAAGACCGGGGCUUAACUUCGGAAAGGCAGUGGAAACUGAACAGCUAGAGUAUGGUAGGGGCAGAGGGAAUUCCUGGUGUAGCGGUGAAAUGCGCAGAUAUCAGGAGGAACACCGGUGGCGAAGGCGGAUCUCUGGGCCUUACCUGACGCUGAGGCGCGAAAGCUAGGGGAGCGAACAGG
RNAcentral lists this ribosomal RNA (253 nucleotides) under uncultured bacterium. RNAcentral's name for it is "partial 16S ribosomal RNA". It matches the Rfam family "Bacterial small subunit ribosomal RNA", at positions 524 to 776 of the family's 1533-position model. The record is from RNAcentral.